CCCACCUGGGCCGGGCGCUGCGGGACCCGGUGACCGAUCAGCUCUAUCCUGAGCCCCUGCGGAGCCUGGAGGUGCCGGCGCAGGCCCUGCCCGUCAGCACCAUCGAUGUCCUGGGCAGGGGGCAGCAGGCGCUGGAGGAGGUGGAUGCGGAGCUGGGCCUGGCCUUCGACCCUUAGGACGUGCAGUUCUACACCCAGCUCUUCCUCGCUGCCGGUUGCAACCCCACCACUGUGGAGUGGUUUGACCUGGCGCAGUCCAACAGCGAGCACAGCUGGCACUGGUUCUUCAAGGGGCGGCUGGUGGUGGACGGGCAUGUGGAGCUGCAGUCGCUCAUGCAGCGCAUCGCGAGCACGCAGCGCUCCAGCAACGGCAACAAGGUCAUCCA
This is a long non-coding RNA of Neopsephotus bourkii (Bourke's parrot), 385 nucleotides long. RefSeq lists it as uncharacterized. The record is from RefSeq and is a predicted model, not a curated record. The transcript has 3 exons. Lineage: Eukaryota; Metazoa; Chordata; Aves; Psittaciformes; Psittacidae.